UCUGACACCUCACAAACCUAAUCAGUAUCUUCAUUUUCUCCACCCUGCCUUCGCAUUUUGACAGUGUUCGGGGCAGUUAAUUAGGCAGCUCUCUGUAAAAUUCAAAUCUCAGAGGGGCCCGCCAUCGAGAUUUGCUGACCUGUCCUUUGGUCCUUACACACUACUGGCACUUAUGGAAGGAAGAAAGCAGGAAGAGAAGUUUGGCCUCGGAAUUAUUUGCUGCAAACGAAGAAAGUAAUGAGAACGUUGAGGGUGAAACCUGUGCUCCCCCCCCACCCAUCUCCAGAGAGAGCAGCCCCCAGCCACACUCCCCUUGGGUGGGGCGGGGGCAUAGGCAAGCACCAGCACAUCCCUUCCCCUCGUCACCCUCCAGCCUUGGGGCAUGUGCAUCGGUGUGGACAUUUCCCGUGACUCUUGCCUUUUCAAAAUGCAUUUGGCACAGUCACAACCUCCCACACAUGCUGGAGGGUCCCCCAGGCACACAAUCCACCUUCUGCUUCCUGCCAGAGCUGUGUGGGUAGCAGGAGACACCUAGGUUAGUCUGACCGUCCUGAACUCCUUCUGCAGCACCUGCGACUCCCUGGCACUCAGGAGCUAUUUGUUGGAAGAAGGAGAAACUGAAUGAAUAAAUGCCUCCAUUCUCUACUACGUGAAAACUGCCGCCCAGAGAAGCUCAAUACAUCCAUCAGGCAACCAGGAUGACGAGGGCAUGCCGAUCUAUGUUUGCCAAGCGACUUUAAAGAAGCUGUUCAAAAUAACUGCACCUGGCAGCACUAAGGCUUCCUAUGGAACGGCCUCUCUAAACGACAUGCGGGACCUUGGGCUAUUCACCUACUAAGGCCUGUUUCUUAAUUUAGAACAUGAGGAAUUUGUUUGACGCAGCUGAGGUCUUCGGCACAAUCAUUCUAUAAUUU
Molecule: long non-coding RNA, 914 nt
Organism: Equus quagga
Lineage: Eukaryota; Metazoa; Chordata; Mammalia; Perissodactyla; Equidae
Exons: 3
Source: RefSeq, a predicted model, not a curated record